UACAGAGGGUGCGAGCGUUAAUCGGAAUUACUGGGCGUAAAGCGCGCGUAGGCGGCUUUGCAAGUCGAGUGUGAAAUCCCCAGGCUUAACCUGGGAACUGCAUUCGAGACUGCAUAGCUAGAGUAUGGGAGAGGGAAGUGGAAUUUCAGGUGUAGCGGUGAAAUGCGUAGAUAUCUGAAGGAACAUCAGUGGCGAAAGCGACUUCCUGGACCAAUACUGACGCCCAUGUGCGAAAGCGUGGGGAGCAAACAGG
Molecule: ribosomal RNA, 253 nt
Filed under: uncultured bacterium
Lineage: Bacteria
Description: partial 16S ribosomal RNA
Rfam family: Bacterial small subunit ribosomal RNA
Source: RNAcentral